RNAcentral lists this long non-coding RNA (1320 nucleotides) under Arachis ipaensis. RNAcentral's name for it is "long non-coding RNA (AIPA_LNC002334)". Lineage: Eukaryota; Viridiplantae; Streptophyta; Magnoliopsida; Fabales; Fabaceae. The record is from RNAcentral.
UUUUCUUGUAAAAUAUUUUAUAUAAAUUAUUAUAGUGUCCCAAUCCCUGUAUUGACACAAAAGCCCCUCUAUUUAUUUUAUACCUGCAAAGUUUACGUUUCGUAUGAAACUUCCGAUCCAUUCACUGACUGCCCAAACCCCACAAAUAUGCCUAAGCCGUACAUUAUCCACACUGCAAGACAUAGUAACUAGGAUGGGACGCCAGGCAUUUAGCAUUUGAUGAAAAUGGAAGUUGGGUCAGCAGCGCAGGUCAACCUUAAUAGUUAAUCCAGAAACACUAAAGUAGAACAAAAGCACCAUAAAUGAAUGUUAAAAGUUAAACACAGGCAUCCAGAAUGACCAAAAAAAGCAACCCAGGCAGCCAGAAUUAAAUAUCACAAGAAACAUCAAAGUAGCAUAUCCAUUGGUACAAAAUUUACUUUUGCCAGCAUGAAUUAUUGAUACAACAGACUGUAAUCAUGCUUAUUAUUCUUCCCUCCACUUCCACUACCAGAUUCUCGACCUUCCAUAACUCAUGAAAUGAUAUAUCCAUCAAAGUACUUAAGUGACUCUCCACCAUUAAUAAUGAAACCUUUCAUAAUUUACCCGGAUCUAAUUCUUGUUUUUAACAGUUUAAUGUCCUCAAACUUUUAAACCCACCAAUACAUUCUCGUUUCAAUGUUGACUAACCUGACCUUUUACGCCUUGUGGAAGUAAAUCACAUAAUAGGAUCAUUUCUAUGGAAUUUCAUAGUCAGAAACAAGCCAUCAUAACAAAAGGAUUAUAGCAAACCAUAUUCAUAGCCCCCCUUGGCUCCAGUGUUAAGUUAAUACACAAACUUUUUUAUGCCUAAAAUUAUUUUCUAACAUACAGCAUAGCAUACUCCAUAAGCAAAGAUGUCAGUGGGAAGUGACUCAUUGAUCUGGAAGAGACAACAGAGUCACUUUAUGAAAGGAACUAAGAUGGCAGCCAAAUUAUUGGCCUCAAAUAAACAUGUAUUUUUGUUUUUUAAGGAUACACGACAUUAGCUUAGUCCCUACAAAAUAUUUGAGAUGAAAUAGGUUCUUGAUAGAUAACAUGUAACAUCACAAUAAUUAUAAGACAUAACAUCACAAAAAUACUCCAUAAGCAAAGAUGUCAGUGGGAAGUGACUCAUUGAUCUGGAAGAGACAACAGAGUCACUUUAUGAAAGGAACUAAGAUGGCAGCGAAAUUAUUGGCCUCAAAUAAACAUGUAUUUUUGUUUUUCAAGGAUACACGACAUUAGCUUAGUCCCUACAAAAUAUUUGAGAUGAAAUAGGUUCUUGAUAGAUAACAUGUAACAUCACAAUAAUUAUAAGAC